RNAcentral lists this long non-coding RNA (41317 nucleotides) under Glycine max (soybean). RNAcentral's name for it is "long non-coding RNA (GMAX_LNC002462)". Lineage: Eukaryota; Viridiplantae; Streptophyta; Magnoliopsida; Fabales; Fabaceae. The record is from RNAcentral.
AGAAACAACCUUAAAUAGAGAAAAACACUUAAUUACGUCAUUUUGUUCAGUAGAAGGACCCAACGUUUGAAUCAUCUGUUUAUCUCUCACAUUUAGAUAGUUAAUUUUGUAGUUAAAUUAGAACUAUAGACAUAACUUCUCUUUAUAUUUACUAGCUUUAUACAAAUGCUUACCUACUGAAUGAAUGCUCCCUAAAUGAAACAAGUUCCCUAUGGACUCGACACUCGGUCUUACCAUUCUAUAUAUUACUUGUGCGACUCGGUGCACUUGCCGAUUAGCAUCACUGACCAGUGAAACAAGUAUUUUAGCGAGAAGCGAACAAAGUUUUUGGCGCCGUUGCCGGGGAACUUCUUUCCAUUUGGGAAGUAUAGUUCAGUUUGUAGGCAUUGAUUCUUUAUUCUUUGAUUAAUUUUUGUGUGAAUAGUUAGCUGAAAUUUAUUUUUCUCUUGAUUAGGUUGACUGCUGCUCUUGUUAGUGUUUUGUAUGCGAGGUAACCCUUCUACAGGUGAUUUAGCUUCAUUGGAUUUGGAGAUAGAAGCCACUUGUAGGAGGAACAACAUAGAUAGAAGAAGGAAAAUACUGCAGGACAAGACAACACCACCAAUUCCAGAGGAACCUCAAUCAUUUGAGUCGUCUUCUAUUUUUCCAGAGCCAAGAGAAUUAGAAAUAGGUGCAUCUGAGGCUAACAUAAUGGUUGAAGAUCAAUCUAGGAGGGUUACCCUUGAAGAUUACUCUAGCUCGACUAUGCCACAAUUCUUCAUAAAUAUAGUGUGGCCAAAAGUUCAAGCACACAACAUUACAUACCCUCACUCCUUAAUACAGUUAAUUCAGGGAAAUCUAUUUCAUGGCUUGCCGAACGAAGACACAUAUGCACACUUGGCAACAUACAUUGAGAUUUGCAAUACAUUCAAGUUUGUCGGUGUUCUUGAGGACGCAGUGAGGCUGAGUUUGUUAUCUUUUUCAUUGUUUGGAGAAGCAAAGAGAUGGUUACAUUCAUUUAAGGGAAACAGUCUAAAGACUUGGGAUGAAGUGGUGGAGAAAUUUUUGAAGAAAUAUUUCCCUGAGUCUAAGAUAGUUGAAGGAAAAGCAGCCAUCUCUUCAUUUCACCAGUUUCCGGAUGAGUCUCUAAGCGAAGCACUUGAACGAUUCCGUAGCCUGCUGCGGAAAACACCGACUCAUAGAUUCUCAGAACCAAUUCAGCUCAAUAUUUUUAUAAAUGGGUUAAGGCUGCAGUCCAAUCAACUGUUGGAUGCUUUUGCUGGGGGGAAGAUCAAAUUGAAGACCCCGGAAGAAGCCAUGGAACUCAUUGAAAACAUGGCUACAAGUGAUCAUGCCAUCUUGCGUGAUUGGACUCACAUUCCAACAAAGAGAAGCCUGCUGGAGCUUUCCUCUUAAGAUGCAUUAUUGGCACAAAACAAGUUGUUGUCUAAGCAGCUUGGACAUUGACAGAAACAUUGAGUAAGUUGCCUAAUCAAUUACAGGUUAAUCAACCUUCACAUUCAGUUGUUUUGCAGGUUGGAGGUUGCAGCAUAUGCGGAGGAGCUCAUGAAUCUGGACGCUGUAUUCCCCUGGAUGACACAUCCUAAGAGGUAAAUUACAUGGGAAACCAAAAUAGGCCAGGAUUUAAUGCAGGUGGAUAUGCAGGUUACCAACAAGGUUCCAAUUAUUACCAACAACCUUGGAAAUCAGUUCAACAAGGACCAAGGCGGAUCAUCUAAUAGGCCUCAGAACCAAGGGCCUAGCCUCUAUGAUAGAACCACCAAACUGGAGGAGACUUUAGCUCAAUUUAUGCAGGUUACAAUGUCAAAUCAUAAGAGCACCGAGUCUGCCAUUAAAAACCUGGAGAUUCAAGUGGGGCAGCUAGUCAAGCGAAUAACAGAGAAUUCUUCUAGCAAUUUUGGAGCAAACACUGAGAAGAAUCCAAAGGAAGAAUGCAAAGCUAUCAUGACGAGGAGCAGAAAGGAAAACCUGGUUGAGGAUGAGGGAAGGAUUAGUGACAAGCAAGAGCUUGUGAUUGAAGAAGGAGAAAAAGAGGAAGAAGAGGAUCAGUUGAUGGAGAACAAAAUAUAUGAUUGUGAGAAAUAAAUAAAUAAAGAAAAAGAAAAAGAAAAAGAAAAAAAAUGAAAAAAAUAGAGAAAGUGAGGGAGAAAGGAAGACAAAGAGUGAGCUUGCAAGAGAAAAGAAGAAAGAGGUUGUCUCAUGUACUGGGAAGGAAGCACCAUACCCUCUGGUGUCAUCAAAGAAAGAAAAGGAGCGACAUCUGGCUUGUUUCCUUGACAUCUUCAAGAAAUUGGAGAUAACCAUUCCCUUUGGAGAAGCCCUAUAGCAAAUGCCACUCUAUUCUAAGUUUUUGAAAGAUCUGCUGACCAGAAAGAGCAAAUACAUCCAUAGUGAUAACAUUGUGGUGGAAGGGAACUGUAGUGCGGUGAUUCAAAGAAUCCUUCCACCUAAGCAUAAGGAUCCUGGGAGUGUUACUAUUCCUUGCUCUAUUUGUUCGGUGUCGUUUGGUAAAACUCUCGUUGAUUUGGGGUCCAUUAUAAAUUUGAUGUCUCUCUCCAUGUGCAGCAAAAUUGGAGAGUUGGAGAUUAUGCCAACUACAAUGACACCACAACUUGCAGAUCGGUCUAUUACAAGGCCUUAUAGCGUAAUUGAAGAUGUUUUGGUUAAGGUGCAGCAUUUUACUUUCCCUGCGGAUUUUAUUCUGAUGGAUAUUGAAGAGGACGCUGAAAUUCCCUUAAUUUUGGGUUAUCCCUUCAUGUUAAUCGCCGAUUGUGUGGUGGAUAUGGGAAAGGGUAAGCUAGAAAUGAGCAUGGAUGACCAAAAAGUCACAUUUAACUUAUUUGAGGCAAUGAAGCACCCAGAUGAUCACAAGGCCUGUUUUAAAGUAGAAAAAGUGGAACAUGAGAUAGAUAUGGUAGCUAGAGCCAUGGUACUGUAGUCCCUACUUGAAAAAGCAUUGAAUAACACUAUAGAAGGUCUGACAAUAGAAGAAGAAAAAGAAGUGCAGACCUAUUUGGAGGAAUUAGAAGGUGUAAAGAAGGACAAUCCAGCGAAAAAGGAUAAAGUGGAGUUGAAGACCCUUCCUGAACACCUGAUGUAUGUAUUUAUAGGAGAAAAUGAAACCAAUCCGGUGAUCAUCAGCAGUUCUUUGAGGAAGGAAGAGGAGGCUCAGCUGGUGAAGGUUUUGAAGAAACAUAAGGCAGCCAUUGGAUGACACAUUUCUGACUUGAAAGGAAUCAACCCAUUUUACUGUAUGCAUAAGAUCAAUAUGGAAGCUGACUAUAAGCCUGUAAGACAGCCACAAAGAAGACUUGAUCUAGUUAUGAAAGAGUAAAUGAGGAAGGAAGUGCUUAAAUUGCUAGAAGCAGGGCUCAUUUAUCCCAUGUUAGAUAGUUCUUGGGUUAGUCCUGUGCAGGUGGUUCCCAAGAAAGGAGGCAUGACAGUUAUUAGGAAUGAGAAGAAUGAUUUAAUUUCCACAAGAACUAUCAUUGGCUGGAGGAUGUGUAUUGACUACAGAAAAUUGAAUGACGCCACCAGAAAAGAUCACUACCCACUUCCAUUCAUGGAUCAAAUGCUUGAGAGGCUAGCAAGGCAAUCAUUAUAUUGCUUUUUAGAUGGAUAUUUUGGCUACAAUUAAAUUGCAGUAAACGUAAUGACCAAGAGAAGACAAUAUUUACCUUCCCCUUUGGUGUGUUUGCCUAUAAGCGAAUGCCUUUUGGCCUUUUCAAUGCUCCUGCAACUUUUCAAAGUGUAUGAUGGCAAUCUUUGCCGACAUGGUGGAGAAAUGUAUAGAAGUAUUUAUGGACGACUUCUCUGUCUUUGGCUCCUCUUUUAACUGUUGUCUAUCCAAUCUAGAGAGAGUAUUGCAAUGGUGUGAAGAAACCAACUUGGUGCUUAAUUGGGAAAAAUGUCAUUUUAUGGUGCAAGAAGGCAUUGUGUUUGGUCAUAAAAUUUCUGCAAGGGGGAUUGAAGUAGAUAAAGCAAAGACUCAUGUGAUCAAGAAGCUGCCCCCUCCGGUAAAUGUUAAGGGAGUAAGAUGUUUUCUUGGGCAUGUUGGGUUCUAUAGGCGAUUUAUAAAGGAUUUCUCAAAGAUUGCCAAACCGCUCAGCAAUUUGCUUAACAAGGAUGCUGUGUUUUUGUUUAAUGAAGAUUGUUUGAAAGCAUUCAACACUCUCAAGACUAGUCUAGUGUCCGCUCCCAUCAUUACAGCGCCUAAUUGGGGCCAAGAAUUUGAGCUAAUGUGUGAUGCAAGUGAUUAUGUUGUAGGUGUUGUCUUGGGCCAGAGGAAAGGCAAAGUAUUCCAUGCUAUUUACUAUGCUAGCAAAGUUUUGAAUGAUGCUCAGAUCAAUUAUGCUACCAUAGAGAAAGAAAUGUUAGCAAUAGUUUAUGCAUUGGAGAAAUUCAGGUUAUACUUGGUGGGAUCGAAAGUUAUCAUCUAUACUGAUCAUGCAGCCAUCAAGUAUUUGCUAAAUAAAGCUGAUUCCAAGCCUCGGUUAAUUAGAUGGAUUUUAUUACUUCAGGAGUUCGAUCUAGUUAUCAAAGACAAGAAAGGCUCUACAAAUCUGGUAGCCGACCACUUGUCAAGACUGGUUAAUGAGGAGGUGACUUUGAAAGAGCUAGACAUAAGAGAUGAAUUUCUCGAUGAAUCCCUGUUCAUGAUAAAUGAGAGACCUUGGUUUGCUGACUUGGCUAACUUCAAAGCAGUUGGAAUUAGCCCUAAGGAUUUGACUUGGCAGCAAAGGAAGAAAAUCCUACAUGAUGCUCGUUUUUACAUCUAGGAUGAUCCACAUUUGUUCAAGGUUGGUGCUGACAAUCUUCUGAGAAAGUGUGUAACAAAGGAGGAAGCCAAGAGCAUAUUAUGGCAUUGCCACAAUUCACCAUGUGGAGGACAUUAUGGUGGAGACAAAAUAGUAGCUAAGGUCCUACAAUCAUAAUUCUUUUGGCCAACACUCUUCAAGGAUGCCUAUCAACAUGCACUACAAUGUGAUCAAUGCCAGAGAAUGGGAGGAAUUUCCAAAAGAAAUGAAAUGCCCCUGUAGAACAUAAUGGAAGUGGAAAUCUUUGACUGUUAGGGAAUCGACUUUGUAGGUCCCUUUCCCCCAUCCUUUGGCAAUGAAUAUAUUCUCGUAGCUGUGGAUUAUGUCUCCAAGUGGGUAGAAGCAGUGGCUACCCCAAAGGAUGAUGCCAAAACUGUAGUAAAGUUCUUGAAGAAGAACAUAUUUGCUAGGUUUGAGGUGCCUCGGGUCCUAAUCAGUGAUGGUGGCUCUCAUUUUUGCAAUAGCUAGUUGCAGAAGGUGCUAGGCUAUUAUAAUGUCACACACAAAGUAGUUUCACCCUAUAACCCUCAAACAAAUGGCCAAGCAAAAGUCUCCAACAGGGAAUUGAAGAAAAUCUUGGAGAAGACUGUGGCUUCAACUCGGAAGGACUUGGCAAACAAGUUAGAUGACGCAUUAUGGGCAUACAAAACUGCUUUCAAGACCCCUAUAGGCCUAUCUCCAUUCCAAAUGGUUUAUGGGAAAUCCUGUCACUUAUUGGUGGAAAUGGAACAUAAGGCAUAUUGGACCUUAAAAUUUCUGAACUUUGAUGGGGGUUGCAUCAAGGGAAAAGAGGAGAAAAGAGGAAGAUAAAGCUCUUGGAGUUGGAAGAAAUGAGAUUGAAUGCAUAUGAGUCUUCAAAGUUGUACAAGGACAAAGUGAAGGCUUACCAUGAUAAGAAGUUGCUCAAGAUGGACUUUAGCCCAGGACAACAUGUGAUGUUGUUCAACUCAAGAUUGAAGUUAUUCCAAGGCAAGGUCAAAUCCAAAUGGUCUGGACCAUUUACAAUCAAGGAAGUCAGGCCAUAUGGAGCAAUAGAAUUGUUCGAUCCUCAGUCAGAGACUCCAGAUAGGACAUGGGUAGUAAAUGGUCAGAGGUUGAAGCUUUACCAUGGUGGAAGCAUUGAGAGGUCAACCAUCGUCCUUCAUUUACAAGACACAUGAGGUAAUAUGUGUCAAGCUAAUGACGUUAAGCGAGCGCUUACUGGAAGGCAACCCAACUCUUUUUAUUUUCAUUAAUCAUUGCAUAUAAUUAGGAUCAACUUGUUUAUGAUUGCUUGAGUAAGUCAUCAGCAUGUUUUGCAUAGAGAUAUGGGGUUGUCAAAGCUUCUUUGAAGCUGUGGAUGAAAAAUAACUCAGAAAAUUUUUCAGUCAUCCACUCACUCAACGUGCCCUGUGCACUAAGCAAAUCAUCAUGCAUGCGCUGAGCGAGUCAUUACUCGCGCUAAGCGCAUCAACCCCUACCCAUUGGAUGAUGGGGUCUCGCUAAGCGAGCCUUGUGCACUAAGCCUAAAAACCUCUUUGAAAUUGCAUUUAAUGGAAUUGGGCUAAGUGAGUCAUCUCGCUAAGCGCACAACAUAGUCUCGCUAAGCGAAACUUUGCGCUAAGCGCAAUUCCUUCUCUGUCUGGACCAUCAUGUGAAUUGGGCCCAGCGGGUCAGCCCGGUAAGCCCAAAUCCCUCUCGGGUAUGGAAUUGCGCUAAGUGAGACGGUCUCGCUAAGCGUGCCCCACUACUACAUUAGGAAGCAUUUAAUUCGCUAAGCGGGCACCUAUCCCGCUAAGCGAAAGUUGCAGACCAAUCAAAGCUGCAGAUCAUGCUAAGUGCAUACCUUUCGCGCUAAGCCCAAAUCCUUCUCGGGUUUUCUAAUUUUCGAAUUAGGCUGAGCGAGUCUAUCAUACUGAGCACGUGAAUUUAAAAUCUGAAAAUUCAAAAGUCACUGAGUGCUUGCUUAGUGAGUCACUCGCACUAAGCGAGACAGUUGAAACUGCCAAAAAUAAGACUUAACUGCUCUGGGCAGUUUCUUUUAUGCAAUUUACAAAUUUCUUCUACUUGCAUCUUUGUCAUUUCUGUACUCAUAUGCACUGCACACUCACUUUCUCUGCUUCUUACUCCCAACUUGCAUUCUCUACUCACUGCAAUCCAAGUAACUACUUCUCACUUUGCCUUUUUAAUUUUCAUUUAUGAACCUUAGGAUAGAAGCCAUGCUUAGGUUUUCAAAGCUUUGAUUAUGUGUUGAUUCUACUGUCAUUAGGGUAGUUAUUAAAAACCAUGUUCUUAGGGGUUUUGUUUCGCACAUAAUGUAUGUUGUUUUGCUGUGAAUUGCUUAGGUUUUGAGGCCUAAUAGAGGCCUAUAGUUGGGGGCUGCAAAGCCCCAAUUUUUUUGGAAUUCUCGAUGUUCUCGCUAUGCGAGCCCGUUCGUUAAGCAAGUUCAUCAAUUCUUGAUGAAUUUCUGGGUUUUUUGAUGAACUCGCUAAGCCAGCCCUGUCCCGCUAAGCGUGUUCAUCAUUUUUGUUUAAAUGUUUGAAUGUAUGUAUGAAAUCGCUAAGCCACUGCACUUUAGCUUAGCGAGUGCUUAAAUUUCCAGAUUUUGUUUUUAUGUUCGUAUGAACUUGCUAAGCUAGCAUAUCACGCUUAGUGAGUUGUGUUGCUUAGGUCAGAGUCAACGAGGUUGUUAGUCUUCUGUUGGUGGCUAAGCAAGUCAGUCUCGCUAAGCCACCAUGCCUCUAUAGCUUGAAUAAGCCUGGGCUAAGCAAGUCAGUCUCGCUAAGCCUAAGGCAAUUUAGUUUUCCGAGUUUUUGUUCAUGUGCUAAGCGAGUUAGUCUCGCUAAGCGCAAUUUCUUCUCUGUUUUGGAAUUAGGCUUAGCAAGCCUGCUCGUUAAGCCAAUUAUGUUCCAGUGGUCAAGUUUGGCUAAGCGCUUGCUGGCGCUAAGCCUGUAUAGUGUGUCACUCUAAGUGAGUCAGUAUCGCUAAGCGCAAUUAGCUCUCUGUCAGAGAAUAAGGCUUGGUGAGCCAUGCUCGCUUAGCCAUUAUGUUGUUUCAGCUAAGCGAGUGUGUCUCGCUCAGCCAAAGUCUGUGUUUUUGUGUUGUCGUGCUAAGCGCGCCCUGUGCGCUAAGCGUGUGCUGUUAUUUUCAUAAGCGAGUCAGUCUCACUAAGUGCCCAGUCUGUUUUUCUGUUUUAUUUUUCUAUUUUCAGUUUGAGAUAAAACCUGUCUAACUUGAUUCCUGUGAUUCUUUUUUGAUGCAGAUGGCCUCCUGGAAAAGGAAAUGCACCGCCUCCCGGCCCUAGGAGCCUUAUGACACUACCAGAUUUAUUUCUGAGGCUACCUAGGAGAGGUAUUCCCAGAAUGUUCACUCUCGGAACAUCCUUCUGGAGAGGAACGUCACUCUUUAUGUCACAGAAUAUGAUGAGUUCCGCUAGGAGCUCGAGAGGCGAUGUUGGCAUAAAGCCUUGACCAGGCAAAUGGAUGGGCAUAUAAUUGAAGCCCUGGUCAAGGAGUUUUAUGUGAAUUUGUAUGAUCCUGAAGACAAAUCCCCCAGGCAAGUCAGAGUGCAGGGGAAGCUAAUCAAGUUUGAUGCCAUCUCUCUUAAUGCCUUCCUGGAGACGCCACCAGUUCUUCAGCCAGGGGAGCAGUACACUUCUUAUUCCAUUUUCUGUUGAUCAUGCCCAAAUCCUUAAGAGCUUGCUUCCAAGCUCUGCAUUCCAGGGCGCGGAUUUGUUUUGAAUGCUGAAGGGGCACCCUGAAAGCUCCUGAGGAAGGACUUGACUACUCUGGCACAGACUUGGAGUGUCCUGUCCUAUUCUAACAUCGCCCCCACCACUCACACGUUCGAUCUGAAUAUAGACCAAGCAAGGUUAGUUUAUGGAUUGGUUAUGCGAAUGGACAUGGACUUUGGCUUGCUCAUCCCAGGCCAGAUCUCACAGAUGGCCCAGUCUAACUCCUAUCGACUUGGCUUCCCAACCCUCAUCACUGCUUUAUGCAUCGCCUAGGGAGUCGUCUUAGAUUCACUAACAUUUGAGUCCCUGAGCCCCGCCAUUAACUUGGCAUACAUCUUGAAGAAUUUUUGGAACCCAGAUGAUCCUUCGAUCACCUUUCCGGGGACCCGUAAGGCUCGGGCUUGGGGACCAUCGAAUGCUUCUGCUCCUUCUUCUUCUUCUUCUUCUCCAGUUCCAGCCCCAUUUUCUUCUGCUCCAAAUUCUACUUAUGCACCUCCAGUACCUUCCGGCCCCUCCGCUCUAAGCUCAGACGCCAUGGUGACGAUGUUGUAGAGCCUUCACCAAGGCUUAUGCCUAGUGAUGCAGAACAUUCAUAACUUGGCUCAGCAUCGACCCAUCAUUAGCAUGGAGGAUUUCAUGGCUCGGGUGGUCUGGCCAGGAGUCCAACCUUCUCCUUUGGGGGGAGGUGAGGCUCCUACAACCCAGGAGCCGCAGCCAGAGGCACAGCCCACGUCGGAGGUCACAUAGGAGGCUACACCAGAGGUCUCACCUGCUGCCACACCACUUGUGGAGGUCUCUUAGGAGGAGGAUGGUGCUGCAGACACCGAUUAUGCAGCUAAUAUGGUAGCAACAUAGAACACUUGGGAUCCCUGGCCCACAGCAGCACAGAAGACAUCUCAGUCAGCUCAGGAUGCUCCUUCCUCACCUUGGGAUGAUCAGAUACCGGUGCAGGAUGAGUGAUGACAGGACUAUCAUUUAUUUUCCUACUUUAGAUACAGUUUUAUGUUUUUAGUUUCAGUUUAUUUAGUUAGCAAAUUUCAAAUCUUCUUGAACAGUUUACAUUCAUUUAUGCAGUGGUUGUUUUGGUUUGGAAUUUCAGUGUUUGUGAAUGAUUUGAAAUUGAUCAAUGGCAUGAAUUAAGUGAAUUGUGAUGAUUAGAUCACGUGCUUUGAAUGAGUAUGCAAUAAUUAGAAGAGAAAGAACAUGAAUUAGGGAUGUGAGUGAAAAUGUUAGUUGGUUUGACAGGUAAAUUGUGAAGGUAAUCAUUAGCCAUAAACUGGUGAGUUGUGUGAACCUUAAUUGUGAGAGAAUGACUAGCAUUGAGUACCGAUUUUUGCAUGAAUCUCUGAAUACUGAAUGAAUGCAUGAAUUUGGAAAUGAUGAAGGUCAUGAUUGAUUGAAAUAGCCACUUAGCUAAAUAGUUUACCUUGUUCAUGAAUGAAUUAUCCUUUGCACCCACGUUGAGUUUAAACUUGAUUGAUUAAAUUGAACCCUGAGCCUGUUGAAGUGUAAUCUCCAUCUACCUUUUCUUAGGUUGUAGGAGAGCAUCAUGGUUCAAAGCAAAUUUGUCCCAAAUUUGGGGGAGGAUGUUGGGUGACAAUAAUUGUGGUAAGACAAAUAACAGCCACACAAAAAUAUCAGAAAGUAGUAAGUAAAAACUGCUAAAAUAAAAAAAAAAAGAAAAAGAAAAAAAGAAAAGAGAAAUUUCAAGAAUAAAAGUAUGUGUGUGUUGUUACUUAAGCUAAGUGCCUUAAAUGUUGAUUGGCAAGUCAGUAGAAGCUGGGAAUAAAAAGAAAAAGAGUUGAUCUAAGGAUGAAUGCUCUCCUAGAACCUAAGUUUUGCAUCCUAGAAAAACCAUGAGUUGUUUGCAGCCUAGCCUCAUUACAAGCCAAGAAAGUCCUUCAGAUUCAAUUUAUGUGUUUGUGAUUGUAUGGCAUGAGAUGAAAUGCAAAAGUUGAGACUUGUGUUGGUUGUUGACUGAAGAAUUGCCUUAAACACUUGUGCUUAUGAGUGAAAUAGUGACAAUGAGGAUUUGGCUUGAUGAACCUUCCUUGAUACCUAUCUUGCUUGCUAGAUUAUUUCACUUGUGUUGCUUAAUAACCAUGUUCAGAUCUUUGAAAUUCUGCAUAUCUUUAUGAGAAGUUGUUGGUUGAAAGCAAUGUUUGCCACUUGUGUUCAUAUGAUUGAAUGCUUUGGAACAAACACAAUUUUUAAUAACCACUGUGAUUUUGUCACUUGAGGACAAGUGAACUGUUCUUUCCUUGCUUGAGGAUAAGCAAAAUUGUAAAUUUGGGGGAGUUUGUUAGUUGUCAUUUAUGACUAACUUUUGUAUUGAAAAGCUUCAUGAAAUUUAUAUCUUUUCCCUAAUUUAUGGUUCUUUUUGUAGGUUUGUACAUAUUUUUUUUUGUUUAGUUUAAUUUUACUUAGUAGAUAUUCCCAAUAUUGUGAUUUAAUGUGGUUCAACUUCAGUUUCAGGCCAAAGGAUGAAGAAGAAGAAGGUUGAAGCAGCUAGUGUCUCGCUAAGCGAGGCAUAUGCACUUAGUGAGUAACAUCCGCUAAGCGAGGCACUCAGCUCGCUUAGCGAGUGGGAAAAAUCUAGAAGAGAAUCUUCAGCUCGCUCAACGAGUCAUUUGUCUCUUCUCUCACUCAGCGUGCCCAGCUCGCUAAGCAAAAAUCCACUAACUCGCGCUUAGCAGGAAAAUGGCGCUAAACGAGCCUUCAGGAUCAAAAAGCCCUUAAAAGACUAAAGUUGGCGAAAAAAUAAGGGGAGUUCAGUGAGUUUUUAUGAAGAGAGACAUAACAGAGCAAGAGAGAAAAGCUUGAACGAAAGGCCUCAACUAAAUUAUGUCUAGACACAGAGUGCAGGGAUUUAGUUUAUAAUAUGUUGUAAUCUUAAUGCAAUUCAUUUAGGCUAAGUUUGACGAGGAAUCUAGAAUGAAGCUUAAAUAGAAUUAGACUCAUUCACUAGAGGAAUCUUGGUUUGAGUAGUCAUUUUCGGCAUAGAAACACAUAAACAACCUUAAAUAGAGAAAAACACUUAAUUACAUCAUUUUGUUCAGUAGAAGGACCCAACGUUUUCAUCAUCUGUUUAUCUCUCACAUUUAGAUAGUUAAUUUUGUAGUUAAAUUAAAACUGUAGACACAACUUCUCUUUAUAUUUACUGGCUUUAUACAACUGCUUACCUACUGAAUGAAUGCUCCCUGAAUGAAACAAGUUCCAUGUGGACUCGACACUCGGUCUUACCGUUUUAUAUAUUACUUGUGCGACUCGGUGCACUUGCCGAUUAACAUUUCUAACCUGUGAAACAAGUAUUUUAGCGAGAAGCGAACACUGCUCUUGUUGUUGCUGAAGUUAGUAUGCCAACUGCUUUGGUUGGUUCUGUUAUGGCACCAUCGUCCACCGUCGCUACACCUUUGUUGAGUGUCGGUGUAGAGACCAUCAGUGCUCUUGUGGUGUCUCCUCCUUCCUCUUCGGCUCCAAUGGUCAUCCCUCCACUGCGUUGGCGGCGACAUCACCUUCUUCGUCUUCUUGUCCCCGUGUCUCCUUGGAUCAUUUGUACACCUUUAGUGAUACUGAUUCACUAUGGGGUACAAGUUACAAGCUGGAGCAGAAGACCCCAAUUGGCUUUGUUUUAGCCUUUGAUAAGAACCUUAUUAGGUCAGCUGGGGUGCAGAAUGCUACGCAUUUUGCCAAAGUUUUUCUUUAGAGAAGUUUGGCGAUUCUGGAGGAGAACGGAUAGUGGCACCAAGAGGCUUUGCAUAAGGUGGCAUCCUUGGAGGCAGAGGUCGCCAAAUGAAGGGCUACUGCUCGCACAGUUUGGAGAGUGGACCACCCUAAGGUGACUAAUGCCACCAUAGCCUUUGUUAAGGUCGUAAGGUCAAAUCGCCAACUGCCUUCCAAAGUUGGUGGUGUGUUGGCCAAGUUGCUACGCACCAAGUUGGAUGGUGAUGAAUUGUUCAAAUGCUACAAGGACUUGUAAGUGGAUAAAAGCUACCUAGCUAGCAAGAUGGAGGGCAUUGUGGCAGAGAGGGACGAGCUUGUGAAGGUGAAUGUUGAUUUAAAGGCUCGACUUAAGGAGUCAAAGUCUCGGUUAAAGGAGUACGAGCUGUGGGCUGCCUAGGAAAGGGAGGCCAGCAAGAAGCUUAAGGAGGAGUUGCUCGUUUACAAGAAGGAAGCCAUGGAGCAACAUGAAAAAGGAUUCAACAAGGCCGUCAGGCAGGCCGAGUUCUUUGCCAAGGACCUUGACUUGGGUCUCUUUGACCUUUAAAGGAUGUGAAGGACGAUGUCUUGCUUGACGAGGAAGAAAUUGUUGUGGACAAGGAGGCUAUUGAUGAAGAGCAGAGUGCUGAGGAGCAAGGCGAUGAUACUUGUGUCUAGGUUGCCUUUGCCUUUACCUUUCUUCUUUUCUUCAUUGUUAGAAUUUGAGUCAUAUAGGCCUUGUAACUAUGACAAUUAUUUUUAUUUUUCCUUAAUGCGUAUGUCUUCAAUGCACAUGCUUUCCUUCGAUGGUGAAUUUUUUCCUAUGUGUAUGUUAUGUAUGUUGCCUUUGUCUAUGCAACACUCUAUUACUUGUGGUAGUAUGGAUAGGCCGUCGUGAUGGUAAGUAUAGAAUCUUUGAUGGCAAAAGUAUUUACGCUGAAUACUUGUUCCACUGGUCAGUGAUGCUAAUCAGCAAGUGCACUGAGUCGCACAAGUAAUAUAAAAUGGUAAGACCGAGUAUCGUAUCCACAGGGAACUUGUUUCAUUCAGAGAUCAUUCAUUCAAUAGGUAAACAUUUGUAUAAAGCCAGUAAAUAUAGAAAGAAGUUGUGUCAAAAGUUCUAAUUUAGCUACAAAACUUACUAUCUAAAUAUGAGAGAUAAACAGAUGAUUAAAACGUUCGGUCUUUCUACUGAACAAAAUGAUGUUAUUAAGUGUUUUUCUCUAUUUAAGGUUGUUUCUGUGUUCUAUGCCAAAAACGACUAGUCAAACCAAGAUCCCUCUAGUAAAUGAGUCUAAUUCUAUUUAAGCUUCGUUCUAGAUUCCUCGUCGAACUUAGCUUAAACGAAUUGCAUUAAUAUUAUGACAUAUUAUAAACUAAAUCCCUGCACUCUGUGUCUAGACAUACAGUUCUCUAGCCUGCUCUAUCCAGUUCUAAGGAUUUAAAAUACUUUCCAAUGCUAAAAAUCUUAACUUUACACACAAAUGGGUGAUCAAGCCACAAGCAUGCAAGAAUUAAAUACAGAUAGAAGCAAUGAACACAUAAAAACAACUUUAAAUAGAUAGUGAAGAUUUUUACAUCAAAGCUCAGCAGAAAUCCCCAACAAGAGAUUUAGCAUUCCAUUACAAGUUAGCACCUUUCAGCACCAAGAUGAGGUUUUUGAAGGAAAAUUAAGAUUACAAAGUGGUGGGGAUGUCUCCUCCAUCUCUAAAAACCUAACAAUCACUCAUAAACCUAAAAUCCUCUUGAAAGCUGAGGCCUUUCGUUCAAGCUUUUCUCUCUUGCUCUGUUUUUCGGCUUUGUUACGUCUCUCUUCCAUAAGAACUCCCUAUUUUUUCUCCAACUUCAGUCUUUUAAAGGCUUUUUGAUCCUGAAGGCUCGCUUAGCGCCAUUUUCUCGCUAAGCGCGAGUUAGUGAAUUCUCACUUAGCGAGCUGGACGCACUGAGUGCGAGAAGAGACAGAUAACUCGUUGAGCGAGCUAAUGGUGCACUGGGCGCGUGCAUGAAUGGCAGAUUUUCUUCCAGAUUCUCCCCACUCGCUAAGCGAGCUAAGUGCCUCGCUUAGCAGAUGUUACUUGCUAAGCGCAUAUGCCUCGCUUAGCGAGACACCAACUGCUUCAACCUUCUUCUUCUUCAUCCUUUAGCCUGAAACUGAAGUAGAACCACAUUAAUUCACAAUAUUGGGAAUAUCUACUCAGUAAAAUUAAACUAAACAUAAAAAUAUGUACAAACCUACAAAAAGAACCAUAAAUUGGGGAAAAGAUAUAAAUUUUAUGAAACUUUUCAAUACAAAAGUUAGCCCUAAAUGACGACUAACAACAAGAAGCAAGACCUUGGCAAUGUAGAGGUAGGACUGUGGUGGUCUUGCAAAAAUUAGAUGACAAGAAAUCAUCUCAGGUUUGAUUUCAACCUGGUUAAAGGUCUUGUCACCCAUUUGGUAGGGCUUCCUUUUGCUUUGUGGAGCUUUUCCCCUGAUGUUUGUCAGAAGUAUGUUUGACUUGCUCCUGGUUGAAGGUUUUGCUAGCCAGUUUGGGGGUAGGUCGUGUAACCUGCGAAGCUUCUCCUUUAAUGGUUAUGAAGAGUAAGUAUGACUUCCACUUGAUUGAAGGUCUUUCAAAAUAGUCUAGUGGUAGUUCAUUUUGUUGAAUUUGGACCUUUGACGAUGGUCAUCGUAGUUGGUGCAAGUGAGCAGACCAAAGGGGUGCCUUGGGUUUUGUAGGAGUACUUACCAAGGGUGGACCUUGGGGUUUGGAGGAGUGUGUUCCAAGGGUAGACCUUGGGUUUUUGAUAUACUUGUAUUCCUGCACAGAUAAAAAUUAGUAAUAGAGAAGAUCAUUAAGGGUAAACCUUGCAUACCUUGAGUUCCUAUGGAGAUGGAACUUAGUAACAAAAAGGGCUCACCAAGCAUGAACCUUGGGUUUAUCGAGCCUUGGACCGGGGAUGUAUUUGCCCUAGGUUUUAUCAAGCUUGUGGAGCUGCGUCGAGGCUUACCAAGGAUGAGCCUUGGAUUUUGUGAAACUAUAAGAAUUACCAAGCAUGGAGCUUGGAUUUAACGAGUCUUAUGUGCAGCAAAAGUGUUGUGCACUUGCAUACAUGGCACUAGCCGUGGAUGGCAUGUACUAGAGAUGUAAUGGUGUGCUCUUGCAUACGUGCCUCUUACAAAGUGACAUGUAUUAGAGACAUGGUGGUGUAAAUUAGUAGGACCCACCAAGGGUGGACCUUGGGUUUUACGAUCCUUUUGGAGGAUUAACCAGGGGAUUGUCUGACUUGGGUUUUGGGCAUCAUGCUUUUGCAUGCAUGCCACUUGCCAUGGGUGGCAUAUACUAGAGUCAUAGUAUUGUGCUCGUGCGUACAUGUCGCUUGUCGUGGGUGACAUGUACUGGAGACGUAAUAGUGUGCUUGUACGUACAUGUCACUCACCGUGGGUGACAAGUACUCGAGACUUAGUAGUGUGCUCAUGUGUAUAUGUCACUCGCCGUGGGUGACACGUAUUGGAGACAUAGUAGUGUGUUCAUGCGUACAUGUCACUCGCCGUUGGAGGCAUGUACUAGAGAAAUAAUAGUGUGCUCGUGCGUACAUGUCACUCGUCGUGGGUGGCAUGUACUGGAGAUGUAGUAAUGUGUUUGUGCGUACAUGUCACUCGCCACGGGUGGCAUGUACUGGAGAUUUAAUGCUAGAGGGAGGGCUCACUAAGGGCAAUUCUUGGGUUUUAAGAUCCUUGGAGCUACGACUAUGGAUGCUCGUCUUGAUAAGGGAAAUGUGAGAAGGGGUGUAAAAUUUUUAUUCAAUGUAUUUGAUUAAGUACAAAUUACAUUAAUUAUCCUAGAUGUGCCUCGUUAAAACCUCUCAAGCCAAAACCCUGAUUUUUCUAUUUUUGGGACAAAAGACCUGAGUAGGAAAAAAGUACAACAUUGGGUUUGCAUUUAGGUCAACUGAAGUAAAACUUUAGGUGGGUGAAGUUCCACGUUCUUGGAAUUGCUUUGCCAUCUAGGUCUUGUAGUCUAUAUGCUCCGUUGCCAAGGUUGGUUGUGACCCUGAAUGCUCGUUCCCAGCUGGGGCCAAGCUUUCCCGCUUGGGAAUCUUUUCUGGCUUCACCUUGGACUCAUCAUACAAUGUCACCAGGUUGAAAGGCUCGUGGUUGAACCUUUGCAUUGUAUCUCCUUGCUGCUCGGAGCUUGGCAGCUUCUUCCCUGAUCCUCGCCAUAUCUUGGACUUCGUCUGUGGUUUCGAGUUCUACCUUCAUAUUUUCUUCAUUUUGCUGUUGAUGGAACAACAAUCUCCUUAUUGACAGUUCCCUGACUUCAACAAGGAUCAUGGCGUUUGUGCCAUAUGUGAGUCGGUAAAGAUUUUCAUUGGUUGCUAUCUGGGGUGAACAGUGGUACGCCCAGAGUAUGCUGGAGAGCUCCUUUUUCCAUAGACCCUUAGACUUGUUGAGUCUAGUACGUAGCACCCUAAGAAUGACUCUAUCAAUUGCCUCUACCUGACUAUUGGUCUGAGGAUGUUCGACAAAGGUGACUAGGUGCUUUAUGCCUAGCCUUGUCAAGAAGUCUUUGUAAGUCUGAGCUUUGAAUUGAGUGUUGUUGUCUGUGAUAGUGGCAUAUGAGAGGUCGUACCUACAGAUAAGGUGUUUCCAGGUGAAUUUCUCCACCUCGUUGGCCGUAAUUUCCCACAGUGGUUUUGCUUUUAUCCAAUUGGUGAAGUAGUCGAUAACAACUAGCAAGUAUUUGACUACUCCUGGGGCCUUUGGCAGUGAUCCCAAUAUGUUCAUUCCCCAGGUGGCGAAGGGCCAAGGGGAGCUUAGAUUGUGGAGAUUGUUAGGAGGGGUGCAUGGCAGAUCUAUACCUCCUAGUAAAGUUGAUGGUGUCUGCCCUGAGUGUUGGCCAAUAGUAGUCGGCUCGCACCACUUUGGUCGCAAGGGAGCAUCCUCCGUUGUGGAGACCACAUAUCCUUUCAUGAAGUUCUCUCAUGACGUAGUUUUCCUGUUAGGUGUUUAGGCAUUUGAGUAGGGGUGUUGUCAACCCUUUUAUGAAUAGCUUGCCAUCAAGGAUAACGUUGUAGUUGGCCUUUCAUUUGAGGCGUCAGGCUUCGUCCUCAUUUGGUGGUAGUUCCCCUCGAAUUAGGAAGUUCUUGUAGGGGGUCAUCCAUUCUGGUUCCUCUUCUUCUCUAGCCAUAACUUCCUCAACAUCUAUGGUGGGAGUUUAGAGGGUUUCCCAGAUGAUAGUCUUGAGGUGCCCGACCUUUUUGGUGCUGGCCAGCUUGGAGGGUCUCCCUGGGUAUGUAGUACAUUUUGAAACAUUCAAAAUUUUCAAUGAAAGUCUUCAUGAUGUGAUAGUACUUGAGCAACAUUGUUUCCUUAGUUUGGUAUCUCUUAGCAACUUGUCCUUGGACAAGCUGCAAGUUUGUGUAGCAUCGUAACCUCUUGGCUCCGACUUCUCUUGAUGGCUUCAAACUUGCAAUGAGCACCUCAUACUCUACCUAGUUGUUUGAGGCUUUGAAAUUGAGCUUGAGGGCUUGCUCUAGAGUGACAUUGUUAGGGCGUUCGAGGAUGAUUCCUGCCCCGUUUCCUUUUACGUUGGACACACCAUCAAUGUAAAGGUUCCACUAGUCUGGGAUGGUUGUGUCGUUUCCAGUGAAUUCUGUUAGAAAGUCAGUCAUGAAUUAUGUCUUUAUGAGGCUGCGAGGUUUGUAGUCGAUGUAAAACUCUGAAAGUUUGACGAAUCAGGCCACCAUCCUUCAUGAGAGUUCAAGCUUUAGCAAAACUUGCUUAAUGGGGUAGUUCGUUUUGACGACCACUUGAUGACUCUAGAAGUAGGGCCUGAGUCGUCGGGCCAAGGUAAUGAGUGCUAGCGCUACCUUUUCUAUCAUUUGGUAGCUCUUUUUAGCGUCAUGAAGUGUGCAACUGGUGAAAUAAAAAGGGAGUUGGUGUUUCCCUUCCUCUUGUACGAGCAUUGAGCUAAUGGCUUUGUCAGCUACUGAGAGAUACAAAAGUAGGGGUACUUUUGGCCUGGGUCAACUCUAAACUAGUGGUGUGGCUAUGCUCUUCUUGAAAGCUAGGAAAGUUUGUUCGCAAGUCUCAUCCCAUAGGAAGGGCUCAGGAUUUUUGAGCAAUUUGUAAAAUGGCUUUGCCUUUUCAGCAAGCCUCGGGAGGAACCUAGACAUGGAUGCUAGCCUACCAUUCAAUUUCUGAACUUCAUAGAUGUUAGUUGGGCUGCACAUCUCUAGUAUGGUAAUGCAUUUUUUAGGGUUGGCUUCAAUUCCCCGGUGAGUGAUCAUGAAGCCAAGGAACUUUCCUCCGCCUACCUCGAUAGUAUAUUUUUUGGGGUUGAGGCGCAUGUCAUAUUUACAGAGUUCCCCAAAGACUUCUUCCAGGUCUGUCAUGUGUUGAGCUAUGCUUUGAGACUUGACGUCCAUGUCAUCCACAUAUAUCUCGAUGUUUCAUCCGAUCCACUAUUUAAAGACUCGGUCCAUCAGUCGUUGGCAUGUAAUGCCUGUGUUUUUUAGGGCGAAGGGCAUGACCCUGUAGCAAAAGUUGGCAUCUUCUGUGAUAAAUGUCAUUUUCUCUUCGUUUGGAGCAUGCAUCCUGAUCUAGUUGUAUCUUGAGUAAGUAUCCAAGAAGCUUAGAACCUAAAACACGGAGGCUCCAUCGACUAGCCUGUCGAUAUUGGGCAAAGGGUAUGCAUCUUUGGGGCACGCCCUGUUUAGAUCAGUGUAGUUGGUGUACAUUUGUCAUUUGUCGUUGGUCUUUUUGACCAUGACGACGUUGGCGAGCCAAGUGGAGCACCUAACUUCUCUAAUGAAGUUAGCGUUGGGGAGUUUGUCGACUUCUUCUUUGAUAGCUUUGCAUCGUUCUUCACCCAUCUUUCUUUUCUUUUGUGAUAUUGGUUUGGCUUGGGGAUAGAUGGAAAGUUUGUGGAAGAUGAUGUUGGGAUGGAUUCUCGGCAUCUCAGAUGGGUGCCAAGAAAACAAAUCAAAAUUUUUGUGUAACACAUCAGCGAUGCACCGGUGCUCAUGGCUGGUGAGGUCCCUACUCAGCUGCAUACACUACCCAGGUUUAGGUCCGAGCUGCAGCUUGAUGAGCUCUUUGAUGGGUUUUGGGCCUUUGUGUCACACGGAUCUAUGUCGAAUUUCUAGGCUUGCUUGGUAGACGGUCAGGGCUCGGAUUGGAGACCCUUUAUUCACGCUCAUGACUUGAGUGCCUUCAGCUAUUGUGGGGUGAGGAUAUGGUGCUACCUUCAAGCUUUUUGCAUAGCAUUGUUGUGCUUGCUUUUGUUCUGCCAUGACGGUUAUUAUCUCCCUGGUUAGGGUAUGGAAUUUCAUUUUCAAAUGGGGCAUGGAGAUUAUGGCUCUAAGCUCAUUAAGUGUCUUCUUGCCGAUUAAAGCAAAAUAUAAUGUAUCUGCAUCAACAAGUAGAUAUCUUAUGGUGAAUCUCCUAGAAAGCUUGCCUUGAUCGAAGGUGGUCAUUAAGUCAGUAUAGCCUCUGGUCUCUACUCUUUCCCCUGUAAAGCUGAGGAGUGGACCAGCGUGAGGGUGGACAGUGUCGGGGGAGACCUCGAGUGUCUGGAAAGUUUUUAAAUACAAGAUAUCAGUGGAACUGCCCUGGUCGAUGAGGACCUUAGACACCAUGAAGUUUGCAAUGAUGAUGGAGACAACCAUGGGAUCGUCCUGGUUGACGAGGUUGAUACCCUUGAAUUCCCUAUCUGUGAAGGUGGUAGGAAGGAGACUUCGUUGUGAUGGUGCAUCGACAAAAUUGAUGUCGAUGUUUCGAAUGGCGUGAAGAUGGCAUUUUCGGGAUUGUUCGCGGCCAGCAAGUGUACCGGAUCACACAAGUAGUAUAAAAUGGUAAGAACCAAGUAUCGAACUCUCGGGGAACUUGUGUUAUCUGGAAAGCUAUUUCGGUAAAUAGGUGUCUGGUAUGAAAAGAUGAUUGUGGUUAUGAACAGGUAUGUAAACUAUCUAUGCAAAAAGAAAGAAAAUCACGUAAGAGAAAUGUUGUAUAAAAACAAGUAGAGAACAGGUUGGUCUUCCUAAUAGGUUCCUGAUGCUAGAACGAAUGUUCUCUAUCUAACAAUGCCCAUGUAUUCCUAUGUUGUCUCCUGGAUUGUUAGACCCCGAUUCCUCAUGAUAGCCUAGCCUAAUCCAGAUCAAGCCUCGUCCGCAGAUUCUUCUUGUAAGACUAAACUCAACCAGGACCGCAUUAAGACACACAUACACAACUAAGUUCUUGUACCCCGAUUCCUCGUGACAGCACAACAACUUAGCCCCAUACUAUCAAGGACUUUAGAAUCAGACUAGUUUCCACUGUUGAAUGACCCUAACAAAGCAUGCAUCUACGUGAUCAAGGUAAAGGCAUACUAGAAUGAAAAGCAGAUAGCACAGAGAACACACAAAACAUCAUUACAGAGAUAGAAAUAUAUUUACAUCAGGUACCUACAGGGAAGAUCCAAUAGAGGAUUUAGCUUUCCAUGGUUCGGAAACCUCCUUUACAACACAGAGAAGAACAAGAUGAAAGAUAGCAAAAAUACAAGUGGUGAGGAUGUCUCCUUCACCUCUAGGAUCUCACAAUCACUCACAAACUUAUCUCAAGUUCUCAGAACGACUUCCGCUUCGAGCUCUCGUCUCUGCAGAUCUUCACACAGCAAAAUCUCUCAGAACUCUUUGGAACUUGGACCUUUCUCUCUCUAGAACUUCCUAAACAUGCAAAGCUUCAAGCCAAGGUUAGACUCUCGUGCAUGUAGAGGCUUUUUCAAGAAAAAUGCCAAACUCCCUCAAAAAAUCUGAUUUCAAGUUUAAAUAGGUGGGUUGGUCCCUACUCGCACGCUUAGCGUAAAUCUGAAUCGCUUAGCACGCAUAAGUGGAUUGUGGCUUACCACGCUUCUCUCACUUAGCGGAUGAGCUGAAGUGGUGCGCUUGAUGACCUGGAGUGGUGCCCUCAGCGAACCUGACAGAUCAUCUUCUUCUAGAUUCUUCCUCGUGCUUAGCCAUUGAGUGUCACGCUUAGCGAAUGCUCGCUAAGCCAGCAGAUUGGCUUAGCGAGAAGGUGAAAACAACAUUUUUACCAAUUUGCCUAAUUAACCUGAAAUUAAGAGAAAUUGAUUAUUAAACACACAAAACAAAAGUAUAAAUUAUCUAUUAUCUAUAUUUAACAUAAAGUACUUAUAAUAUUAUAAAACAACUAUAAAUUGGAGAAGUUUGAUACAAUAUACACAAGUUUUAUACACAAAAGUUAGUCGUUUUCACAGACUAACAGGGACUAGUUGGACUAUCCUCAAUAGGAAAAUCCGCCCGCAAUGGUGUUGAUUCACCCCUAAUUUGUUAGGCGGAUUCCUGUUCUUGUGGAGGUUGUCGUUCACACCGUUGUUGUUGGUGUCUCUGUCUUCCUCGGUCUUCCGCUCUAUCUCUUCUUCUAUUUGCAUUGUGAAUCCUUUAUUGCUCCUCUGGGUCUUGUUCCAACUUGGUAGUUGUCUGGCCUAUUGACAAACUGGGCUAGGUACCCAACUUGUAUAAGCUUUUCUAUCUUGUCCUUAAGGGGCCAACAAUCUUCUGUGUUAUGACCAAUACCGUGAUGAUACCUGCAGUAUUUGGUUACGUCUAACCCCGACCUAGGAGGUUUCGUUGGGGGUAGCCUGAUGGGAACCUUUAAGUUGAAAGCUUCCUCUAGAAUUGUAGUGUGAUUAACCGUUAGGGGUGUGUAACGCUCAUACCUGGACCCUUUUGGGAAAGGUUGAUGCUUGUCUGACUUGUGUAAGUCGGUCUUGGUACUUCUUUCUCACUUGUCGAGCUUCUGUAUGACUUGUUUGACUUCAUUCUUGAAUUUGGACAUUUUUCCAUCUGGAUGUAGCCUUUGGCUUACUCGCGCAACUCGUCCAUGCUAUCAUGGAUUUUUUUUUUGCACAGAUUGUCCGCAAAAUUGUUGGGGUGUAGGGCGAGGAGCAUGGAAUGCAACGCUACCUUAGGGUUAAGAUUUUGGAUUUGGACGAUUGUGCGCCCAAAUCUAUCCAUGAAUUUUCUGAGAGACUCGUCAUUUGCUUGUCACAGACUGGCUAAGGCAGUCGAGGUCAUACAGUGAGAUCUACCGGUUACAUACUGCACACUGAAGUGUUCAAUGAGGGUGUCGAAGCUGUCUAUAGACCUAGGUGGUAGUUCGUUGUACUAGGUCAAUGUCGCCCCCUUAAGGGACAUUAGGAAGACAUGACAUAGAAUCACAUGUCAUCAUUAGUGUAUAGGUUCGCCCGAGUCAGGAAGGCAUUUAGGUGCUCAUCUGGGUUUAUGGUCCCAUCAUACCACUCGAGGUUGAGUGGUUUCCACCCCAAGGGUAUGUCAGCCUCCAUGAUGCAGUCAACAAAGGGAUGUUGACGAGUAGUCCGCCCUACUGGACAAUGCAUGUGGGAGAGACUUAAGUCAUCUACAGUGUUGACUGUGCGUCGGGGGUGUGAUUCCCCUUGGAUGUGCUCAAGCAAUGUGUGAGCGAAGUGCUCAUUGCCUUGGGGACGUCUGAUACGAGCCUCCAGCUGAUCAUGGUCAGCCUUUAGCUUUCUCAGCUCCUCCUCAUAGCAUUGCUCCUUCUCCGUAAUUCGGUUUUGAAGUUGCUAUAGAGAAUUUGUGUCUGUCAUAACUGCCGAAUGAGGAUGAAAGUCUUCGAAAGGAGUCUUGCGUCUAAGGCUAGACCAAGUGCUAACCAUGGGUGAAAAAGGAGAGAGUUGAUGAGAGAUCGCGGGGUAUAUUUUACCAUGUCCCCACGGUGGGUGAUAAAUGUACUUACCAAAAUCCGAAGCUAGGACACAUCAGGCUAGACGUGGCCAAUGUAGGCUCUUGAACUUCACACGUCGACUUAGAGAGGCACCUUUGUUAAGAGGACAAGAGGGGGGACCUGCAAAACAAAGGACUCUGAUGCUCAAGUAAGUAUAUGAGUUAGGAGAUAAAGCAAGUGUAUGCUUAAAUGUAGGCUCGAGUGAGCAAUAGAGAGAGAUAAGCAUAGGCUUGUUGCUUGUGUGCUGGUGUGUGUGGCAUGUGUUGAGGGUUCAGUGGAACCUAGUAUUUAUAAGAGUGGAGCAUAUUUGUGGAUUCUUGUUGGUAGGGGCUGUUAUAGCCUUUGCAGAUAAUUCUUGACUUAUAGAUAAUAGCUGAUAGCUUGUAGAUAAUGUUAGAGAUAAGCUGUAGUUUAUAGAUAAAAGCUAGAAAAUAACUGUACUUUGUAGAUAAUGUGUGGCUUUGUAGAUAAUUAAAUACCUGCCAGUAGAUAAAGAUACUCAAUUAUAUUCAAAUAUUAAUAGGUUAGAGAUAACCUGUUAGUCAGGGAGCCUAACUGCUAAGGGCCGAGUGUUCAUGCUCCUGUUGCAGGGCUGACGUGGAGGGUUGACACGUGUCUUAGAGUGUCAUGUAAGGUGUCAAUUAUAUUUUGUGGACCCUGGACAGUAAAUGUGAUUUCAUAUUAUUAAUUGAUUCAAUUGUUGUUGUGGUGCGAUUUUAAGAAUUAUUAUUGGAUGCAUGAAAUUAGGGAGUUUGUUGGUAGUUUUUUUAAUGGUAUUCUUAUAAUUUUGUAAGUUGAUCAUCACCUUCUGGGAAAGGAUGAUGAUAUACAUUUUAUUAUGAGAUUAUAAUGUUAUAUACCUCCAUCUGGGAUGAGAAUAAUAUUUAUUUAUAGAUACUCCCAUCUAAGAUGGGGGAGAGAUUCUAGAUACCUUCAUCUAUGAUAGGGAAGACUAUGAGACACCAUUACAUGAAAUAUGAGCUCAUAAACUUUUUGAAGAAUCUGAAAUCUACACUGAUUUUGGAAACCAAAAAAUUGAGUCUUGUGAUUCUGGGAAUCACUAAAUUAUGUCUGUUAUAUUUAUUUGAAUACACUGAGGUAUUGUUGUUUAUUUAAAUAUUUUAUUUAUUCAGAAUGUCAUGAAUUGUAAGUGUUUUAAUCUUAUUUUUAUUAGAGUAUACACACACACACAAAAUCUUAUUUUAAAUUCAUUAUGGAUACCAUGACUGAUUUUCGGAUUACAACGCCAGUUGAGAACAACAUUAUUUACAAAACUCUAAGUUUGUUUUAUUCACUAGGAUUAUCAUCUCAUUAAAAGUGUUGUUUUCAAAGCACAAGGAAGAAGUUUUUGGAAUUGAGGAGGCUUGAAAACUUAGUUACCUUUAAAUACAUUUUUAGCUUUGUUAGUACUCAGAAUAAUAUGUCGAAUGUGACUGAUUACGUUAUACUUUUAGUGUCGGUUAUUUUUAGAUACCUAUAUUUGAGAGUAAUAUUUUUACUUAUGUAAAGACUUAUUUAUUUGACUUUAUUUAUUAUACAUGAGGUAUUUUCGGACUAAUAUAAUUUUGAGAUUUUAUAUUCUUUUUAGUAUGAGUUGUUAUUUUAAUAAAGGCGUUAUGGUGGUUGUAGUAAUAGUGGUGAUUGUGGUGAUGAUAAAUUAAAUCUUUAAAAUAUUUAAUUUUCUAUUUGAUAAAUCUUAUAGAGAUUUUAUAAUUAAACGAGAAUUUAAUUUGAAUUUAAAAUAUUUUAAUCUUGACCUUACAUUUUAAUAUAAUGGAUGAGAAUGAUCAUUCUCAUUCUCACAUAAGAAGAUCAUUCUCACCUAAAACGUCCUUCGAUCUUUCUUUAUGUAUAUGAAACGUCUUCCUUUUUCUUUCUAUAUAAAGGGGAUUAACAACCAACACCAUAAAUAUUUGUAAAAAAAAAAACCCAUUGAAUUCCUUUGUCAUUAACUUUAAUGUAAGGAUAUUAUAAUAAUUUAUGUUUUAAUUUUAAUGUUUACGAGAGAGAAAAAAUGAUUGAUAAUUUAAUGCUUAGAGAAAAUUGUCUAAAAAUUAAUGUGGACAAAGAUGAGAGAAGAAAGAUAAAUAAUUAUUUUAAAAUUGAAUCAUAAAUUAAUAUAAUAUCCUUAAAUUAACUUAUUAUACAAAGGAAUUUAUUGAUUUUUUUUACAAAUAUUUAUGGUAUUCCUUAUAAAUACUUAAGUAUAAAAGUUAUAAUUUUUAUUUUAUAUCGAAUAAUGUGGAUUAACUAUUGACUUAUUAAGUUGAUUCCUGUCCUAAUAUUACGAUCGAAUAGAUUAUCAAUUCGAAUUCGAAUCUAAUAACAGUGCUCAAUAGCAACUUCAUCUAAUAUCUACAUGACAUGCCGCAUCAUUAAAAUUGAAAAUUUGAUCGGAUAUUUGAUCAAAAACAGAUCCAUACAAGUGAUAUCUUUUGAAAGAGAUCCAUUUUGGUAAAUAUUUAGAGAGGUAAAGGUCGAAGUAAAGGUAGAAGUAAAGAGACCCAUGUAAAAACUGACCCAAAUUGGUCAAAUAGCCGUUGUAAGUUAUAACCACGUGGAGUGGAGCAGCGACUGGUAAAGGUAGAAGUAACCAUAGCGAACGUCGUUUUAUUUCUUAUUCCCCACGUUUCAAAAAAACCGUGAAAUUUUCUUAAUCUGUUGGCCUUCUUCCACGAUUCCUCUGACCUUUCUUCUUCACUUUUAAUUUCUGGUCUUCGGUGAUACCCAAUCUAUCUUCCGUUCAAAUCCCAAACCCCCUUCGCAUCCAAUGCCCUAGUUUCGCUCCAUUCUCUCCGGUUCCUCCCCACGAUGUCCAGCGACACCUCCUUCGCGGACCGCAAGCUCUGCGGUUUCCUCUGUACGGUUCUCACACUCACUCCCCGCGACGACUCAGACACCACCGACAUACCCUUCCCCGAGCCAUGCGAAAUCUUCGGCGAAGGGGGCGAGGUCGGCUUCCGGACCCCGAACGGCGUCGUUCUGGGCCCGGUGCUCGAUUCGUUGCAAUGCGGCGGUGGCGGCGGUGGCGGCUCCAACAAGAUCAAGAGAAGGAACAAGAUUGGAAUGGUGAACGGGAGCGUGAGCGUGGUUCACCAGCUCCACGCCAUGGUCACUCGCAAGUGCGCCAGAAUCGACGCUCGCGUGGUGUGCGUUGAAGCGCUUCCUAGGGUUGUGGUGCUGGUUGACGUGUAUGUCCCCGUUCAGGUAUGGAGUGGCUGGCAGUUUCCGAGAUCGGGACCCGUCGCUGGCGCCGUUUUUCGCCAUUUGAGGUUAGCUUCUUCUUUCUCGCCUUCGAAUUCUUUGUAUUUAUGUUUAGGGAUUUAGUUACUAAUAACAUUGCAAUGUGUAGAGAAAGAUCACAUGAACGAUUUUGGUGAAUUCUGCAUAAGUAAUAGUUUGCCAUACUGUAGUUGUUUGAGGUUUUAAUUUUUAAACUGUGGUUGAGUGGUAUUUAUUGGUGUAUGUUUUGAUUAAAGUUUGAAAUCAUAGUGUAGCGUGGUUUUACAGUUUGAGCAAAGUUUUUGAAAUUCUGCACUACUUAGUCCUUUGACAGUUAGUCAGUUACCAUGCUAAAUUUGGCAUUUUUUAAAAAAAAAAUAAAAUUAAGGAAAUAAAUAACUAGUUUAGCUAGAUGUCAUGGUUUUAAUUGAAGGACUACAAGUACAUACUACUAGAGAUGGUGUAACUGUUUCAUGUGAUGUUGUCUGCGAUUUGAAUCUUUGGUUAUCUUAUUGCUUGUUUGGUCACGUGUGUUGGUGUGUAUUUAUGUGUAAAUCGAGAAGCUGUGAAUUGUAGCUUUCAUGUUAUUCUACAAUUUGACAUGAGAUUUUACAUGUAUAACAUAAAUCUGAACAGACUAUAAAUACACUAUAAUUAUUUAGUGGUGUGGAUGAGAUGGAAGAUAGUUGUAACCUAUGUAACUGAUGUAAUGUUCUUGCAAGGGUAGUUGCCGGAUUCUUUUAGCUACUCUGCAUACUAGAGAGUAGAGACUAUUGCCUUGCAAACACGGUAACUUUGUGGUCACAUGUUUCAUUCCUGAUGGGUUAUAUGAAUAUCAUGACAAUUAUUGAUGCAUUGUGUUGAUUUGCAAAAACAUUGUUUUUUCUCUUUUGUACAAGAUGAGAGAAAACUCAACAUUUCUUUCUCUUUCCAUUUCUAUUUUUAAAGGGGGGGGGGGGGGGGGGGGGGGGGGGGUUAAAAUGCAUCUCAGAUCAUAAGAUCCUUCCUAAAAUGCAAAUACAUAACUCAUAAUAAAGAUUAAAAUUCAAUACAUAACACUCAACUCAAAAUAGGUUCAUAAGUCAUAACAUAACUCAUAGUAAGUUCAUAUUACUUAAUACAUGCACACUAAACUAGGAGAUCAUUCAAAUUAAAAUCAGGAAAGUCAUCUGUCAUCCUCCAGAUGAUCUUCGUCCUCUUUAAUGGCAUUUCCUCUACCUUCAUCAUCAUCAUCAACAAUUGGAGGAACCUCCAAAUCAUCUACUGGUGCACCACCACCUACUAGCUUCUUCUCCUGCUUCAACUAAGAUAGCUUCAUCUAAAGCAUCCAAUUCUAAAUUUGCUUCGUUCUCCACCACAACCCAUUCUUCAUCAGAAGCUUUGGGGGAAAGUUUCAAAAGAAUUUAUAUGAUACAUUGGUAAAAUAUGCAUUCUUAGCUAGUUUCGUAUUACACUACAAAUUGAUCAUUUUAUCAAACCUAAUACCAUCUCUAACAUGAUCAUACAAGAUCACUCACUGGUUUUAUUCUCGGAAUUCUGUAAACAAUAAAUUAAAUUGUCUGCCUUCAUUUUCCUGUGUGAAUAUACUUAACGGAUGUCUUUGGCUGUCUUAGUUAGCUAAUAGCUAAAUGUUUAUGCAGCUGUGAUUGGAAUGAGAGACGUUCAAUGCUUUCAUAUCCAGACUAUUGUAGGAAGACUUAUGGAGCAAAUGAGAGCAUUUGGAACCUUUCUGAUUGUCAUGUACUUGGUUGCAAGCUCCAUUCCGGUGUGAGCAAUUCUUCAAGGAAAAUACUAUUUCAACUUCAUGAAAUUUUUAAGGCACUACCUGGUGUAGGAAAGCGGCAGACAUUUAAUAGUUCCAAGAUAAUACCUAUGGAUAACAUUUGCAGAUCAGGCAUUUGGGAGUUAUCUGAUGAUAUUUUAACUAAGAUUUUAGCUUCCCUGGGCCCAAUGGACCUCACUAGGGUUUCUGCAACAUGUCAUCAUUUAAGAUCCUUGGCUGCUUCGGUAAUGCCUUAUACCAAGUUAAAUCUGUUUCCUCAUCAGAGGACAGCAGUUGAGUGGAUGUUGCAUCGUGAGCGAAAUGCUGAGCUUUUGCCACAUCCGUUAUUUGUAGCUCUCUCAACUGAAGAUGGCUUUAGUUUCCAUGUAAAUACUGUAACUGGUGAUAUUGUUACUGGGGAAGCUCCCACCGUCAAGGAUUUUCGUGGAGGAAUGUUUUGUGACGAGCCUGGCUUGGGUAAGACUGUAACAGCUCUCUCUCUUAUUAUGAAGACGCGAGGUACAUUGGCAGACCCGCCAGAUGGGGCACAAGUAGUCUGGUGUCAACAUAAUGGUAAUCAGAAAUGUGGAUAUUACGAGGUCAGUGUUAGUGGUAAUCACAUCACUGGUUGUACUACCUUGGGUAAGAGGGAUGUGUGCCAAGAUACCAGCAGAACUAAUGAUAACCAUGAUUACUCCUCCAAAAGAGCCAGAUUGAUAGAUCCUGAUCAGCAAAUAACUAAACUUCAUGAUUCAUGUUCCAGGGAAGAAAACAAAUCACCUGUUGAUGCAUGUUUCAAGGAAUCUAUGCAUUCAAAUCAGUUCACUGGGAGUUUGAGUCGCAUAAAGAAAAAUCUACAUUUCACAUUUGAAGAUGAAGCUAUGAUUUCCAAGGAAAGAGAAAUUGGUGAAGGAUUAAUUAAAGCAAAGCAUGCAUUAGAUGUUACAUCUCAUGUAUCUCAAAACAAGUCGCCUGGGAAGCCUAAAGGUGACUGUUUUGAGUACAAUGAUACAUGGAUUCAGUGUGAUGCUUGUCACAAGUGGCGAAAGCUUGUAGACAAUAGUAUGGCUAAUUCUAGUGCAGCAUGGUUUUGUAGUAUGAACACUGACCCUCUGUAUCAAAGUUGUAGUGUCCCUGAACAACAUUUUCAUAAUAUCUGUAAGAUAACACACUUGCCAGGGUUUCAUUUGAAAGGAACUUGUGGAGGUGAGAAACAAAAUGUUUCUUUUUUCACUAGCGUGCUUAAGGAGCACUACUCCUUGAUAAAUUCUCAGACAAAGAAGGCCCUGACGUGGUUGGCUAAAAUUUCAACAGACAAGCUUGCAGGAAUGGAAACAAAUGGCAUCAGGGGUCCUAUUUUAAACAUUUGUACUGCAUCUAAUAGACAUUUCCACAAAAUAUUUCAAGCAUUUGGCCUCUUAAAGAGAGUAGAGAAAGGUGUUUGCAAGUGGUACUACCCUCAACAUCUUAACAAUUUGACUUUUGAUGUGGCUGCCCUUGGCAUGGCUCUCCGUGAACCAUUAGAUUUUGUUAGGUUAUACUUGUCAAGAGCUACCCUGGUAGUUGUUCCAGCAAACUUGGUUGAUCAUUGGAAAACGCAAAUAGAAAAGCAUGUGAGGCCUGGUCAAUUGCGGGUUUAUGUUUGGACUGAUCAUCAAAAGCCAUCUGUGCAUUGUCUUGCAUGGGAUUAUGAUGUUGUCAUAACUACUUUUAGUCGUUUGAGUGCAGAGUGGGGCCCACGUAAGAGGAGUGCUUUGAUUCAAGUGCAUUGGUUUAGGAUAAUUUUAGAUGAAGGGCACACUCUUGGGUCAAGCCUGAACUUAACAAACAAGUUGCAAAUGGCUAUUUCAUUGAUAGCUUCAAAUCGAUGGAUACUAACAGGAACUCCAACGCCUAACACUCCUAACAGCCAACUUCCUCAUCUACAACCAUUGCUAAGGUUCCUUCAUGAAGAAUCUUAUGGACUGAAUCAAAAGUCAUGGGAAGCUGGUGUGCUUAGGCCAUUUGAAGCAGAGAUGGAGGAAGGGAGGUCUCGUCUGUUACAUUUACUUCAAAAAUGCAUGAUUAGUGCUAGAAAGAUAGAUUUACAAAGCAUUCCACCAUGCACGAAGAAAGUUGUUUAUCUAGAUUUUAAUGAGGAGCAUGCUAGGAGUUACAAUGAAUUGGUAAUCACUGUACGACGUAAUAUAUUGAUGGCUGAUUGGAAUGAUCCUUCACAUAUUGAGAGUCUACUGAAUCCAAAACAGUGGAAAUUUCGUAGUGCAACUUUAAAAAAUGUGAGGCUUUCAUGCUGUGUUGCUGGACAUAUUAAAGUUACACAUGCUGGAGAAGAUAUUCAAGAAACAAUGGAUAUGUUAGUACAAAGUGGUCUGGACCCUACUUCAGGAGAGUAUACCUCCGUAAGAUAUAAUCUCUUGUAUGGUGGUCACUGUGUCAGGUAGUACCUAGGUUUUAUUCUUUCUUGUGGCUUUAUUUUUCUUCUGGUUGUUGCUGUUUAUUAAUUUUUUUCUUAAUAAAUUGUGAAGGUGCAAGGAAUGGUGUCGCCUUCCACUCAUUACCCCAUGUCGGCAUCUGUUGUGCCUUGAUUGUGUUUCUAUAGACAAUACCAAGUGUACUUAUCCUGGCUGCAGUAAAUUGUAUGAGAUGCAGAGUAGAGAGGCCCGACCUGAAAAUCCUAAACCGAAGUGGCCUGUACCCAAAGAUCUUAUUGAGCUACAACCUUCAUAUAAGCAGGCAUGGUUAAUGGAGAACUCAGUUAACAUUCAUCUUUUUUUCCCUCUUUCUGGUUUGCAAUGCUAACAUGCAAUGUUGAUUAUUUAAUACCCAGGAUAAUUGGGAUCCUGAUUGGCAAUCUACAUCUAGUAGUAAAGUCUCCUAUCUCGUCCAGAGGUUGAAAGCUUUGCGAGGAACCAAUGAAGAGACAUACUUCAAUACAGAAAAUAGCAAUGAUGAUUUGCAUAUUGAGAAUAGUUUGCAUAGAAGUGAUGACAAAUCAUCAAUUCAGACAUGUUCUAUGAGCAGCACUAAGACCAAUUUGAACCCUGAGAAAGUUCUGAUAUUUUCUCAAUUUCUUGAGCAUAUACAUGCCAUUGAACAGCAGGUACAGUUUUAUGCCGCAUUUUGUGUGUGAUCUUUCAUGAAUUGUUCUAUUUUAUUUUUUGGCAUCUGUGAAUUCUUUUGCAAAUGAUCAAACUAUUAAAUUGGAUUUCUCUUUGGCAGUUGACUAUUGCUGGUAUCAAAUAUACUGGAAUGUAUAGCCCAAUGCAUUCCAGCAACAAGGUAUAAUGCUGGAAUUUUCUUUUACUGUUUCUUAAAAUUAAAAUUUACUUUUGGUUUCUGACCGUUGGUUAAUUUGCCUUUUCCUUUUCCAGAAGAAGUCAUUAGCCAUGUUCCAGCAUGAUUCAAAUUGUAUGGCACUUCUGAUGGAUGGAAGUGCUGCAUUGGGUCUUGACUUGAGUUUUGUUACGCAUGUAUUUCUAAUGGAGCCAAUUUGGGACCGAAGGUUAAUAUAUCAAACUAAUAUAAUUUGCAAACAAGAAUAUAAAAUUAAUUUUUUAUUGCUUUUAAGACUGAGGGAUAAAAUGAUUUUGAGAAAUUUUAAAAUUCUACAUUAUUUAAUUUUCUUCUCAAGUUGAGCAUAGUAAAAUUUUCUGUGAACUUUCUGUGUGGCUAAUAUGCAUUGUCAAUACUGAACUUUUCUGUUUUGGGAUUUAGCAUGCAAACUGGAACCAUGCUGCAUAAAGUGACUGGCAGUGUAUCUCUUGGUUUCCCAAUUUGCUGGAUCCUUCUACUUCAACCGAAAUUGGCAUGUUUAUCCAGUUUAAUUAUUUUCUAACUUGACCAAAAUGUUUUCAGUAUGGAGGAGCAAGUAAUUAGUCGUGCUCAUCGUAUGGGUGCUUCUCGUCCUAUUUAUGUGGAAACAUUAGCAAUGCGUGGUACAAUUGAAGAGCAAAUGCUAGACUUUUUACAGGUAAAUCUCUAUAAAUUGAACUAUCUUACACCUAUUUGAGUGUACUACUAACAAUGAUGGGUCUCUUUGAAGGCCUUGUUAGUUUAUGUUGUCGUUCAUGUAUGUCACUGAAAAUUGUCUCCUCAAUGUCUUUUGUUUUGUUUAGCUUUUAUAUUGUUGUUGUUGUUCAUCUUUCAAUUUGUUGAUGGUUUAAGCAGGAUGCUGAUAACUUUAGAAGAUCACCAAUUAAGGAUGCUACCGAAUCUGUUGAUGAUAGUGGGGGACGAGGAUAUAGAUCAUUGCAUGAUUUUGCUGAGAGUAGUUAUCUACUGAAACUUAGAUCUGUGUAUACUAAUUUGGAAAGUCCAAAAGGUUUGUACAUACAGUUUUUCCUUAACUGUUUUUUGUUAGCAAACAUAGAUUCAACAGAAAGAUGAGUGAUAUUGCAUUUGAGAAAUUGAAUGCGAGUAGUUUUUAUGACUUCUAUUCCUUAACUGUUUAUUUGAAAUUUUUGCCUGAAACAAAAAGUAAAAAGGUUAUGGUUAUGUUUUCGCCUAAACUGACUAAUAAGAUGCUUUAAAGUUUAUAAGCCACCAGCUAAAAGUUUAUAAGCUUGCAUAUUAAAUUAUAAGUGUUUUGUAAAAUUAUUGGAAUAGUUGGUAAAUGUAAAAUAACAUAAACAUAUUGUAUAACUGUUUUAUGUGAAUUCUAUUUUUGUUUUGUAGUCAAAAACAUUUAAUUAAAAGCUAAUUAAAUAGUUCUGUUAAAGUAAAUACUAAAAUAUUAUAUGAAAUAAAUAACCCAAAAAUUAAUAAAAAGAGAAAAGUAAUUAAAAAAUAGUUACAUAUGAACAAUGUUGAAGAACAGAUCGAGGGUAAAGGUAUAUUAAAAUAGUAAGGAUAUAAAGGAAGGAAAAAAUAAACUACAUGCUUAUAAAUUAUAAGCUACCUGAAGUAGCUAUAAGUUAGUGAAAUAUACUUGUUUACCAAAUACCUUAAUUUGGUCAAACAAAGCUUACAAUGUAGUCAACUAAGUUACAAGUUUGCUUAUUGGACAUGCCAAACACACUAGAUGUUUGGAAGUGAUAAAGCUGUUGAAAUCCUACUAUGAUUUUCUUUUCGAGUGAAAGAAUCAAGUGAUACUUGCAUUGCUCAAAAGUCACAAGUUAUUGUCAAUUCACUUGGUGAAUUUUGGUUAAAUGAAAUAUUGUACUCCCUUCGUCCCUAAAUAUUAGACUCUUUUAAAUGAUUCACACCCUUUAAGAAAGUUAGUUAAUAUAUUUAAUAGUAUUAAAAUUGUUAACAAUUUGUUUUAUUUUGCCAAAGUUACCCUUAAAAUUAUUGGGACUCAUAUCUUUCCUUUCACUUAAUUACUUCCCCACUUAAUUAAUUAAUGUGUGUUAAUCUUAUCUAAUCCUUAUAAGAGAAAUAAUGAUUUAUCUUUUUAGUACAUAACAUUUAUUGUAAAGUAAUUAAGAGUAUUUGGAUCAAAAUAUAAUUAAUGCAAAAGACAACUUGAAACAAACAUAAUUGAAAAAAGACUCUUAUAUUUAGGGACGAAGGAAGUAUGUCCGAGCACUUUAAGCCUGUUGAAACUGAUGGCAUGCUCUGACCCCUCUGAAUAGGACACCCUCUCCUCUCAACUUUCCCUUACCAAAUUGUAUGUUUUUUGAAAAUGAAUUUAGGAUAUGCACUUGCACUUGAAUGAAUUCUUUUACUUUUCUUUAUUAACUUGUUAAUUUAUUUAUUUUUUUAGAAUAUAAUUAGAAUGUAUUGAGUUACACUGUCUUCCAAUAUGAAUAGUCAUAUAGGUGAAAGUUGUUGACUUUUAAAAGUCUAUCUAGAAUGAUUUCUAAUUAGUUGAUAAUGUAAAAAUCUUUAUACUAUCACUAUCUUAAUUAAACUCUUGUGAUAAUGACUUUUUUAUCCGUUUUUACUUCAGGUGUUUGAUUGAUCAACAUCAAGCAAGUACUGACUAAUUUACUUGGAGCAAGUCCUGUGUACAUUUUGCAAGUUUGCAUGCUCUUGAAUAUGGUUUUACUUUUUGAGUAUAUAGUCUUACAAGUGCUCAUCUAAUGAAAGAUGCUUCCAUAUGCAUUGGAGAGUGGAAACUAUUCUUUUUGUGCAGAUUAUGGAGCUAUUUGCAGCGUCGCUUCUGUUUGCCAGUGAUUAAUGAAAUACCGGAAGUGUCCCUGCUUAUUCUUAUGUAAAGGAUUUAGUCUAGUUGAUUUGAUGUGAUCUAGUAGGCAAUUUGGAGUCAAGUAUUCGAAUUGAAAUAAAAUGUUGAGUUAUUGGAAAACAAGUGUUCUCCCACACCCUUUCUCUUAACAGUAGGUAAUAUUGAAAAAUCAUAAUAACCCUUGCCCCCUAAAAUUGGUGAUAUCAUGUAUGUUCUUAUGACUAUCGAUUUCAUUAUAUGCAGCUAAUAUUGUAAUUAUUAGCAAUGAUCCCAGUGCUUAUUAGUCAACAGAAAUUUCAAGAUAUAUUAGCAAUUUGAGGGAGAAAAGGUUUCUGUUCAAUUUAUUCUCAUGUUAGCCUGGGUUUUUAAUUGAUUAUUAUGCUUUGUAGGUUUGUUCAUUUAGUCAUUUGAUUUUGUUGGUCAUUCGGAACGACCACCUGGAUAGUGUAGAAGUUCAAUUAGUUAUACAAUAGGAUAUAAUAUAUAUGGAUGGAGAGAUAAUGAUAAAGAUAGAUGGAUGAAUGGAUAGAGGUAAAGACAGAUGGAUAAUCUUGGAUUAAAUUUAAUUUUGGUUACGUAUGAGUAGAAACUCCCAAAUUCUAUAAUUGUAUUCACUCACAAGUUCUACUCCCAAAUUCAAUAUUCACUCACAAGACACAAGUUGAUUAUUAUGGGACAACAUAAGGGGAUAGGAUUACCUCCUAGGGGAGGAAAGAAAUUAAAAGUUAAUUUUCAAAAUAGUAACCAACCUCCCCGUAUCAAUGUGUUUUUUCACGUUAAAAAGGAAAAAUAAAUAUCACCAAUCAUGCUAUAGGCCUCAAUUUAGCCCAAAAUAUGCAGACAAGUCUAAAAUCCAUAAUUAACUAAUAAAAAUGGUCCUAAUGUAUUCCAAGCUUGAAAUCAAGAAUCGACCAAUCAAAAUAUUCUUAAAUAAUUACAGGUUCAAUUUAGGACUUAAUGACAAUACAAAAUCCAUACUUAAGCUCAAAAUAUUUGAUUUAAUCUUUCAAUCAAGUCCAUAACGACUCAUGGAUAGCUAACACCAAAUUGGAUGAAUUUCGACAAUUAGGUUUUUCAUAACUUCUCUAACUCUCUUGACGCUUUUGUCAUUAGAUACAAACCACAAAUGGUUCAAUUGUAAUUUGUCUUUGGUAUAUUGAUAGGUUCAAUAUUAUUUUUUUCCGUUCUUUCACUCCAAAGAUUGAAGGAAAAAGAAACUUUAUGUUAAAAAAAUGUAACUUAAAAUUAUAUUUUCUUUUCAUCCUUUGGUCUCUUCUGCUUCUAAUAUUAUCCAGAAAUAAUGAAUUGAGUUCAUAUAAACAUUUUGGAUGCUGCCAUUGAAAUAGUGGUUCUUGCUAUAUUUCACAGGGCCUCACCCAUUUUAUAAAGUAUUUUUUUCCAUGUUUAAUGAUAGUUAAAAAAUAUUCGAUAGUAGUAGUAGUAGUAAAUUUGCUAUAAUUUUGACAAAAAAAUGAGUAUUUUAUUAAACUCACUACAAAUUUCAUAGAAAAAUUUAUUUUUUUCUGCACAAUUUCUUACAAAAUUUGUUUUGUAUUAUAAACUUACAUAUUUUUUCUCAAAAAAAUUACAAUAAAUUUUCCAUUUUUUAAAAUCAGUACCUUAUAAUUUAUUUUUUUAAAAAAAUACCUUUAAGAGUGCUACUAAAUUUCCUUAAAUUCACUAAGAAAUCAUAAAAAAAAUAGUUUUUUCUGCAAAGUUUUUUUUACGAAAUUUUUUUUGUAUAAAAAAAAUUCUUUUAGAUUUUCCAAAAAAAAAUUACAAAUAAAUUUUCCAUUUUUUAUAUAUUCGGUACCAAAUAAAUUGUAAGAAAAACCUUAGGAGUGCUAUGAAAAUAAAGUAAGGAAAAUAUAUUUUAAUAUUAUAAAAGUCAAUUAAUUAAAAAAAUAGUUAAUAUUUGAAUAGUAUCGCUAAAUGCUUAAAAUUAACUAUAACAAAUGAUAUUAUAUAAAUCAUUAUUUUAAUUUGUAGAUUAUAGAUUAUUUUAGCCGUUUCAAUUUGGUUUUUCUCUGCCACUUCCAAAUAUAAUUGAAUUUUCAAAAGUAUAAUUUACUUAUAUAUAUUUUUAUUUGAAUAAAUUUUGGAAGAAGAGAGCUAGGUUAAGAUUAAUGUCUGUCCUUACUUAAAUCCUUUCUAAAAAAGGAACAAUUUAUGAGUGAAAAUUAAUAAGCUUAAACAUUUUAGUCUCAAGAUUGUCUCUAAAUAAAAAUAAAGCAUUUCUAAUUUAAUUGAAUGCAUGUACAUAAGUGAAAGCUACCACACGUAGUUUUGGAUUACAAGGUGUUUAUAGUCCGACAGUUUCUAUGUGAUACAUAAUUGAGUUUUUCAAUUUACUAAAAAAAUUAAUAAUAUUCCCUUAUGUGUCAUAUUAACAUAGAUUGAAAUCAUAGUGGUCCCUAAUCAUAUGCAGAUAAGGCCUCUUGAUGCCAAGACCUUUAAGUAGCUGCCUAUCAUUUUGGAAGCAUGUGUAGUAGGAGGUAUUUCUUAGAAUUUGACAUCGAUGUUUUAAGAGAAUCAGAUGAGUCAUCAAACUGAUAAAGAUAAUGGAUUAAUAGGUCACUAAUCAGAUCAAAAUUUCAUUAAUCAAACUGGUUUAACUUGAUAUAUAUUAAAAAAAUUAUAAAAAAUAUAAUUAAUUAAUUUUAUUUAAUCAUUCAAUACUCUAAAUUUAAAAUGAUUGUCGUUAUAAAAUACCUAAUAUAUCAAAUAGUCAUCAAUAUUCAUGUCAAUGCAACUUUAUAAAUAAGUUUCAAAUACAAACAAACAUUCAAUGUGUUAAAAAUAAAAUUAAGUUUACAAAAAAUUUAUAUAUAUAUAUAUAUAUAUAUAUAUAUAUAUAUAAAAUAACACUUGAUUCAAUCAAAGACUCAAUGGAUUUAACCUGGACUACACCAAUUCUAAUAUAUUUACGAUCCCGACCGGUGUGUUUAUUGGAUUCCGAUUGAAUUCUGUCCAAUCCGAUUCUUAAAGCAAUGCGUGACAUGCGUCCAAGUUAACCUAUUUUGGUCGAUGGUGGAGGGGAGCGAAUCUUCCGCUCAAUAAUGCAUUUACUUGACCAAUAGUGUUAGUAAUGCAUGCUUGAUUUCUUUAUGCAAGAUUUUGAUUCUGGGCUUUGUGUAUAACAAUAAUUUCUAAUAGAACAUUUAAUCCCAUUAUAUUCUGAAAUUUACACAAAAGCUGAGUUCUAAGAUGGGUUCUGCAAUUCACAUACAUUGUUGCUGAAAUCCAGCAUCAGUACUUCAAAUUCCACUUGUCAUGCUUGAUUACGACGAACGAAUGCCGACACUACGCUGGCUUUGGACCAUAAAUUUAAGUAAAUAAUUAAAACCAGCGUUUUUAAGUUACACACUCAUCAUAUAAUGUGGUCUUUAACAUCUUGAUUGUGACACUACACAUGCUAUAAUUUGCAUGUAUAGUGAUGCAAUUUGACCGUAGAAGUAAUUUUAACGUUACUAUUAAAUCCUUUUUUCAACUUGCCAAGGCUUGUGGGGUUGUCGCAUUUAAUAUAAACAUGUCUUGAAGUUUCUCACAAGAUAAGGAGUGUCCCCUCUCAUUGAAAUUUAUAUCGAACUUUUGACUUUUCAAUAGAAAAGCAUGAAAUUUAUUGAAUUUGAAAUUUAAAAAAUGUUUUUUUUAACCGAGAGACAUUGAAAUAUUUUAUUUGUCACUCAACUAAUUUUCUUUUAUCAUAUGGUCCCAUUUUAAGAUAAAAUAAUAUCUUUAAUUAUAACUUAAUUCUCAAGUUAGAGAUCAAACAUUAUACCUUAAUUAGUUAAAAAUCCAACUGUGUGAAAUCACUUCUAUCAACAACGAAUUUUGGCCCAUCUUGUGCUAACAACUAAGUUGUUAUUAAUUACUAUACAGAUUGCGUCUAGGUUCUUCAUUUACAAUACCAUGGGACCUAGGAGUCUCAAUCCCUUUUGAAUAAUCCACACCAAACUUUGGCAUAUAAUACAAUGACAAAGCAAGUCAUUAAUGACCUAGAUUGAGACCUAGCACCUACACCGAGCCCUUACUAGUAUAAAAACCGAACACUAAGUGUGAGUUAUGCACACCAACACCAAAACAAACCCACUAAGAUGGCUUCCUUUGUAUCCUUCCUAGUGCUGCUUCUUGCAGCCCUUAUCCUCAUGCCUCAAGGGCUUGCUACUUACUACAAACCAAUUAAGAAGCCACCAGUGUACAAGCCUCCAGUGUACAAGCCACCAGUGUACAAACCACCGGUUUAUAAGCCAAAACCACCGGUUUACAAGCCGAAACCACCGGUUUACAAGCCACCAUAUAAGAAGCCACCAUACAAGAAACCACCUUAUGGAAAGUACCCUCCAGUAGAGGACAACACCCAUGCCUAAAGCAAGCAAUGAGGUCUAUUAUCUACUUAAUAAAUAAGAGGAACUGCUUUGUGUUUUCUAGCAUUGUGACUUACAACUUCGUAGCAAUGCAUAUUCUUGACUCUUGCAUGCACUUCAAUCCUUCGUAGCAUUAAUGAUGUGGCCAAGUCAUCAUGAGCAUCAUACUUAUUUCUUUGUGAAUGUAAAUCAAAAUUAUAAGAGAGAAAAUGGUGCUUUUGUACUACAGAUUACUAUAAAUAAAAAACUUUUAUGGUUUUCAGAUUGUGCUGGUUGAUUGAUUUGCUCUACCAUUAAUUAUGACGAAACGUAGUUUUUUUUUUUCUCUUUUUUAAUCCGUAAAAAUAAAAAAAAUAAAAAAAUAAAUUUAUAAUAAUUCACACUUUAUUUAAUUAAUCGAAAUAAAUUCCAUAAUAGAUGAUACAUAGUUUGACAUACUAUUGUUAAGCUUAAGAUUAAAGAUCGACCCUAUGUUGCAACUAAACUUUCUACAAUCAAUUUUAUAAAUUGGAUUGGUGCAUGUAAGUCUAGCUAGCUAGAGGCAGAAGAACAGUACUAGAGUAGUAGAUGGAAGCCACUCUCCACGCACCUCAAAUAACUCGCAAUUAAACUUGAGCAUAACAUCAAUAGCGACUUAAGUUAAUUUCAAUUAUGGGCUCUAUUUGAACAAAUUUCUCUAUAAAUAUUUCCAGAAGAAAAUAUUAAGAAAACAAUAAAUUGAACUUCUCAUUUAAGUUAAAAUAAACAUAUUUGUAUAUUUUUUAUAUAAAAACUCUCAUUUAACUUCUCUUAAAAAUAUUGAAGUAUAUAAAUUAAUUUUAGCUUAUGAAAAAAAAAAUCAACUUAUUUUAAUUUUCUAUUCUUAAAAAGCCAUAGUUAUAGUUAAUGUGUACAAAGACCAGUUCCUACGAGAGUUGCUGUAUCCUCCUAAACCAAAUAUCCGAAUACUCCUACUCAGUAAGAAUAUUUUGAUAUCUGUUAAUAAUUUUAUAAUAAAUUAUUUAUUUAAUUUGACAUUUUAAUAUUUAAUUUCUUUCCAAGUUUACCCCUUUUCCAUAUGACCAGUCAACUUAUCCUCUUCAUUCGACUUUAAAAAGAGUGGGUGGUGGUGCGGUGAAGCUGAAAACCACACACAAUGAUGGUGGUGGAGAAUGUGAAAAUGGUUGUGGUCGGAGAAGGAGGUACAAGGGACAAAGUUAACUGAGGAAAAAAAAAACUCAGCGUGAGAGAGGGUCUUUUGAAAAAAAGGACAAAUUUGGAAAGGAGAAAAAAAGUUAAAAAGUGUGUUAACAAGUGUGAAUGCUUAGGUGAUUCAGUUACUUUUUCGCCACAUAUGAUCGGAGGAAUAAACAUUUCUCUUUUUCAUAUUACUAUUUUUGUAUGUUUGUCUACACGUACAUGUGGACGGUUAUUUGUAUCAAGUAUCAACUACAUAUGGGUGUCAAAAUUUAAAACUGAACCGAAUUUAAUGAAUUGAUUCAACAACUCUAAUAUAUAUGUGAUGUGAUUUGAAUUUUAAUAAUUUGCGUACGAUUUUAAUUUAAUUUUGAACCUACUUCAGUACAAAAAUUUACGUAUAAUCUUACUACAAGUACUUAAGUCACCACAAUCAUCUACACUCACAUCUUGAAAAAGUGACAUUGAUAGCAAAUUCAUGAAGUACUCACAGCUAACGUCAUUUGAUGGUUGAAUGAACCCCUCAGCUACCCAUAGCUGAAUGAGUGUUCUCUUAUCAAACUCAAAACCUUUUGGAAACAAUGAACAAUAAGCAAAACAGUUUUCCAAAAAUGAAGGAAGAUGGUCAAAACUCAGUUUAAGGAUUGCAAAGAUUUUGUCCUUCUCUUGAUCUAUCUUUGAAAACCCAACUUCCUUAGAGGCUAUUACUAUGCGCACCCAGCAUAAUUACUGGUACAUCCAGCAUAACAGCAUAAUUCCCGUUUUGUCCUUUCCUAAAAUUGAUACAAAUUGUCAAUUCAUAUAAGAUUUACGGAUUGUCCAAUCUGUAAGUAGCCCAAAUAUUUUUUUAAUUUUUUUUUUAAAAAAAUAUGUUUUAUGAAUUAAUUUAAAAUUAAUGAUUCAUGCAAGAAUCAAACUUAUAACUUUCACGUUAUUAACACGACAUUCUAACCAAUCUCAAUAUUCUUGUCAACCCUUUUAAGUUAUUUUCUUUAUGUUAGUUUUUAACCGAUGUUGAAAGUGCCGAUGUUGAAUGUAUUAUCGUUAACAUCGGUUUUAAAAAAACUGAUGUUAACGUUAAUUUUACAACAUCGUUUAUUUAAAUAACCAAUGUUGAUAAUAAGAAUUACACCCAAAAAAAUGUAUUAAUGUUGAUAGUUAACAUCGGUUUUUUGGAAAAAUCGAUGUUAACGUAACUUAACAUCGGUUUUUUUAUAUAAAAUUGAUGUUAACGUAUGUGUUAAUGUUGACAGUUAACAUCGGUUUUUUGGAAAAACCAAUGUUAACGUAACUUAACAUCGGUUUUUUUACAGAAAACCGAUGUUAACGUAUGUGUUAAUGUUGACAGUUAACAUCGAUUUUCUGUAAAAAAAAAGAAAACCGAUUUUAACGUACGUUAACAUCAGUUUUUUCCAAAAACCCGAUGUUAACGUAUGUGUUAAUGUUGACAAUUAACAUCGGUUUUUCCAAAUAAUCGAUGUUGUUUUCAGGAUUUUUUUUUAAAUAUUCUCUCUGUUUUUACAAAAAAAACCAAAAUUUAACCUGUAAAUUUAAAAUUAGACCACACAGCAUAUAUGAUUUGCAUUUUGCUUUCAAAUAGGUUUUAGCAGAAAACUAGCUAGUAAACUAUUAAAAUGAAACAUCAAUUGUAAAAAAUGUAAUGCAAAGUACGGUAAACUAAUUAAGUA